GGUUGUUUGGCCGAGCGGUCUAAGGCGCCUGAUUCAAGAAGUUCGCUUCUUAACGCUGUUAUACAGUGGAACACUCAGGUAUCGUAAGAUGCAAGAGUUCGAAUCUCUUAGCAACCA
Molecule: transfer RNA, 117 nt
Filed under: Lachancea lanzarotensis
Lineage: Eukaryota; Fungi; Ascomycota; Saccharomycetes; Saccharomycetales; Saccharomycetaceae
Rfam family: tRNA
About the family: Transfer RNA (tRNA) molecules are approximately 80 nucleotides in length. Their secondary structure includes four short double-helical elements and three loops (D, anti-codon, and T loops).
Source: Rfam by way of RNAcentral